AAUACAGUAUGUUUUGCUAGUUGAUCUACAAUUUAAUUUACUUUCGAUACUUAUGAGCAAUGAAUACUAGGUUCGAUUCAUAACACAAAAUUGUCCAGAAAUUUAAGCGGUUAACUGGAGUUGUAAGCUUUUUCAGAAUAGUACAAAAUUGUAUAAAAGAUUUGUAAGAGAAAAUUGUACAAAAAAAGGUAAGAGUAAAAAAAUUUGUACCGUAUUUGAUAAAACUUUUGUGGUUGAUAACUGUCAAAACUAUUCAAAGUGGUACCUCUUUGAUAAGGGCAUCACCCUAACACUAUUUUAGUGUU
This 305-nucleotide small RNA is filed under the name Arabidopsis thaliana (thale cress). RNAcentral's name for it is "ATSL103660". Lineage: Eukaryota; Viridiplantae; Streptophyta; Magnoliopsida; Brassicales; Brassicaceae. The record is from RNAcentral.